UGGUGACGGUGCUGAAGC
RNAcentral lists this unclassified non-coding RNA (18 nucleotides) under Mus musculus (house mouse). Its description in RNAcentral is "oocyte_clustered_small_RNA12479". The record is from RNAcentral. Lineage: Eukaryota; Metazoa; Chordata; Mammalia; Rodentia; Muridae.